Strongylocentrotus purpuratus (purple sea urchin) is the source of this 173-nucleotide long non-coding RNA. RefSeq lists it as uncharacterized. NCBI's taxonomy places the organism in Eukaryota, Metazoa, Echinodermata, Echinoidea, Camarodonta, Strongylocentrotidae. The record is from RefSeq and is a predicted model, not a curated record. The transcript is spliced from 3 exons.
GCUUCAUUGCCAGAUCCGUUAUUUGAAACUGCCAAGAGUGUAUAUUAUAUUGCUGCAGAUCAUCUCUUAACACGAGAUUCAGAUGGAUCAGAUGAGAGAUAUCAUCCUUGCUGCAAAGGAGGAAGCUGACCUACUGACCCGGUCAGUCUACAGCGGCUCUGACAGUGCGAAUG